GAGUUUGAUCAUGGCUCAGAUUGAACGCUGGCGGCAGGCUUAACACAUGCAAGUCGAACGGUAGCAGGAGAAAGCUUGCUUUCUUGCUGACGAGUGGCGGACGGGUGAGUAAUGCUUGGGAAUCUGGCUUAUGGAGGGGGAUAACUACUGGAAACGGUAGCUAAUACCGCGUAAUAUCGAGAGAUUAAAGACUGGGACCUACGGGCCAGUUGCCAUAAGAUGAGCCCAAGUGGGAUUAGGUAGUUGGUGGGGUAAAGGCCUACCAAGCCCGCGAUCUCUAGCUGGUCUGAGAGGAUGACCAGCCACACUGGAACUGAGACACGGUCCAGACUCCUACGGGAGGCAGCAGUGGGGAAUAUUGCACAAUGGGGGGAACCCUGAUGCAGCCAUGCCGCGUGAAUGAAGAAGGCCUUCGGGUUGUAAAGUUCUUUCGGUGGUGACGGAAGGUAUCAACUUUAAUAGAGUUGGUA
Molecule: ribosomal RNA, 470 nt
Filed under: Pasteurellaceae bacterium canine oral taxon 080
Lineage: Bacteria; Pseudomonadati; Pseudomonadota; Gammaproteobacteria; Pasteurellales; Pasteurellaceae
Description: bacterial SSU rRNA
Rfam family: Bacterial small subunit ribosomal RNA
Source: RNAcentral